This is a long non-coding RNA of Oncorhynchus tshawytscha (Chinook salmon), 1095 nucleotides long. The record is from Ensembl. Lineage: Eukaryota; Metazoa; Chordata; Actinopteri; Salmoniformes; Salmonidae.
GCAUGAAUCAGGUCUUCAUGGUCGAAUUGCUACAAAGAAACCACUACUAAAGGACACCAAUAAGAAGAAGAGACUUGCUUGGGCCAAGAAACACGAACAAUGGACAUUUGACCAGUCUUUUGGUCUGGACAAUGACCCAACACACCUCCAGGCUGUGUAAGGGCUAUUUGACCAAGAAGGAGAGUGAUGGAGUGCUGCAUCAGAUGACCUGGCCUCCACAAUCACCUGAUUUGUUCAACUACAUGAUUCCAUGUGUUAUUCCAUAGUUCUGAUGUCUUCACCAUUAUUCUACAAUGUAGAAAAUAGUCAAAAUAAAGAUCAACACCUUGAAUGAGUAGCCGGAAACAACUGUUGGAUAUCAGAGUUGCGGUAACUGACCAGCAUUACGACCAGGAAUAUGACUCAUGGUGUGAUUGUGAUAACAUACAGAAACUCAAGUCCUUCUGUUCACCCGACCUAGAAUACCUCACAAUCAAAUGCCGACUGUAUUACUUCCCAAGAGAAUUCUCUUCAAUUAUAGUCACAGCCAUGUAUAUUCCCCCUCAAGCCGAUACCACGACGGCCCUCAAAGAACUACAGUAGCUCUCAGUAGCCGAUGUGAGCAAGACCUUAAAACAGGUCAACAUUCACAAAGCCGCGGGGCCAGAAGGAUAACCAGGGCGUGUACUCAGAACAUGCGCGGACCAACUGGCAAAUAUCUUCAGUAACAUUUCCAACCUCUUCCUGACUGAGUCUGUAAUAGCUACAUGUUUCAACCAGACCACCAUAGUCCCUGUGCCCAAGGGAUUGAAGGUAUCCUGCCUAAAUGAUUACCGCCCCGUAGCACUAACGUCAGUAGCCAUGAAGUGUUUUGAAAGGCUGGUCAUGGCUCACAUCAACAGCAUCCUCCCGGAUACCCUAGACCCACCCCAAUUCGCAUACCGCCCCAACGGAUCCACCGAUGACGCAAUCUGAAUUGCAAUCCACACUGCCCUUUCCCACCUGUAUAAAAAGAACACCUAUGUGAAAAUGCUGUAUGAAAGUGCUUUGAGAGGCUAAGGAUAAGGAUCAUAUCACCUCUACCUUACCUGACACCCUAGACCGCCCCAAUAGAAC